RNAcentral lists this ribosomal RNA (253 nucleotides) under uncultured bacterium. RNAcentral's name for it is "partial 16S ribosomal RNA". It matches the Rfam family "Bacterial small subunit ribosomal RNA", at positions 524 to 776 of the family's 1533-position model. The record is from RNAcentral.
UACGAGUGGUGCAAGCGUUAUUCGGAAUCAUUGGGCGUAAAGGGUGUGUAGGCGGCAUAUUAAGUCAACUGUUAAAUUCUCCGGCCUAACCGGAGGCAUGCGGUAGAUACUGAUGUGCUCGAGUGUGGAAGAGAGAGGCGGAAUUCUCGGAGUAGCGGUAAAAUGCGUAGAUCUCGAGAGGAACACCAAUGGCGAAGGCAGCCUCUUGGUCCACUACUGACGCUGAAACACGAAAGCGUGGGGAGCAAACAGG